GACGAACGCUGGCGGCGUGCCUAAUACAUGCAAGUAGAACGCUGAAGGAGGAGCUUGCUUCUCUGGAUGAGUUGCGAACGGGUGAGUAACGCGUAGGUAACCUGCCUGGUAGCGGGGGAUAACUAUUGGAAACGAUAGCUAAUACCGCAUAAGAGUAGAUGUUGCAUGACAUUUGCUUAAAAGGUGCAAUUGCAUCACUACCAGAUGGACCUGCGUUGUAUUAGCUAGUUGGUGGGGUAACGGCUCACCAAGGCGACGAUACAUAGCCGACCUGAGAGGGUGAUCGGCCACACUGGGACUGAGACACGGCCCAGACUCCUACGGGAGGCAGCAGUAGGGAAUCUUCGGCAAUGGACGGAAGUCUGACCGAGCAACGCCGCGUGAGUGAAGAAGGUUGUCGGAUCGUAAAGCUCUGUUGUAAGAGAAGAACGAGUGUGAGUGUGGAAAGUUCACACUGUGACGGUAUCUUACCAGAAAGGGACGGCUAACUACGUG
Molecule: ribosomal RNA, 495 nt
Filed under: uncultured bacterium
Lineage: Bacteria
Description: partial 16S ribosomal RNA
Rfam family: Bacterial small subunit ribosomal RNA
Source: RNAcentral